This 235-nucleotide ribosomal RNA is filed under the name uncultured bacterium. RNAcentral describes it as "partial 16S ribosomal RNA". It matches the Rfam family "Bacterial small subunit ribosomal RNA", at positions 524 to 758 of the family's 1533-position model. The record is from RNAcentral.
UACAGAGGGUGCAAGCGUUGUUCGGAAUUACUGGGCGUAAAGCGCGUGUAGGUGGCGAUGUAAGUCGGGUGUGAAAUCCCUCAGCUUAACUGAGGAAGUGCACUCGAUACUGUGUCGCUUGAGUGUUGGAGGGGAUGGCGGAAUUCCCGGUGUAGAGGUGAAAUGCGUAGAUAUCGUCAGGAACGCCAAUGGUGAAGACAGGUGACUGGGCUAGAUCUGACACUGAGGCACGAAA